Molecule: non-coding RNA, 778 nt
Filed under: Ambulyx schauffelbergeri
Lineage: Eukaryota; Metazoa; Arthropoda; Insecta; Lepidoptera; Sphingidae
Source: RNAcentral
AGAUAAAUUUUUUAUGGUUUAAAAAAUUUAUUUUAAAUUUAUUUUACAUAUAAAUUUUAGUGUUAAUUAUUAAUUAUUUAAAUAAUAUUUAAUGUUUUUGUAGUAAUUAAUUUUAAAAAUUUAAGAAAUUAAGAUUUAGUAAUAUUAAAAUUUAAUAACUAAUUUUGUGCCAGCAGUUGCGGUUAUACAAAAAUUAAUUUAAAUUUUUUUUUAGUUAUUAAUAAAUAAAUUAUAAGAAUAAUUUAAAUUUUAAAUUUUAAGGUGAAAUUUUAAUUUAGUAAAAAAUUAUUUGAUAUUUAUGAUUUAAUAAAUUUUAUAAAAAACUAGGAUUAGAUACCCUAUUAUUAAAAUUUAAAUUAAUAAUACUUAAAUAGUAGAUAAUUAUUUAUUGAAACUUAAAUAAUUUGGCGGUAUUUUAGUUCAUUUAGAGGAAUCUGUUUAAUAAUUGAUAAUCCACGAAUAAAUUUACUUAAUUUAUUAUUUUGUAUAUCGUUGUUAAAAAAAUAUUUUUUAAUAAUAUUAAUAUUUAAAAAUUUUUAAUAUAAAUUAAAUCAGAUCAAGAUGCAGAUUAUAAUUAAGAAUAUAAUGGAUUACAAUAAAUUUAUUUAAUUGAAUUUUAAUAUGAAAAAAUUAAAUGAAAUUGGAUUUAAAUGUAAUUUUAUUUAAAUUUUUAAAAUGAUUAAAUAUUAAAAUAUGUACAUAUUGCCCGUCGCUUUCAUUUAUAAAUUGAAAUAAGUCGUAACAAAGUAGAGGUACUGGAAAGUGUUUCUAGAAAGAU